Molecule: transfer RNA, 86 nt
Filed under: Asanoa siamensis
Lineage: Bacteria; Bacillati; Actinomycetota; Actinomycetes; Micromonosporales; Micromonosporaceae
Description: tRNA-Ser
Source: RNAcentral
GCAUCGAUUGGACCGCGGCGAGCGUUCAGUGCCCUGCUGCGGCGCGCCCAACAGGCCCGCGCCGUUCGAGACGACGUCGAACUGCC